AGCCCAAACCAGAAACUUGUUUCUGGGGUUGUGGAUAGAUCAUGAAAGAAGAGGUAUCUUAAUCGAAGAGGGCUGGAACGCCCUACCAUAGAAGGUAAUAGUCCUGUAGAUAAAAAGAGAAAACUUCAAGAUCUAAUCCAGAGUACCACGAGACACGUGAAACCUUGUGGGAAGCAGGGAGGACCACCUCCCAAGGCUAAAUACUACCUAGUGACCGAUAGUGAAGCAGUACCGUGA
RNAcentral lists this ribosomal RNA (237 nucleotides) under Clostridium botulinum. Its description in RNAcentral is "partial 23S ribosomal RNA". It matches the Rfam family "Bacterial large subunit ribosomal RNA", at positions 266 to 506 of the family's 2925-position model. The record is from RNAcentral. Lineage: Bacteria; Bacillati; Bacillota; Clostridia; Eubacteriales; Clostridiaceae.